Molecule: long non-coding RNA, 899 nt
Organism: Antechinus flavipes (yellow-footed antechinus)
Lineage: Eukaryota; Metazoa; Chordata; Mammalia; Dasyuromorphia; Dasyuridae
Exons: 3
Source: RefSeq, a predicted model, not a curated record
GCAGAAUAAGAACAUUGUGACUGCUUCCUUCAUGCAAGGGAAGAGGAAGUACUGAAAUUGUUCCAUGGAUGGCUAUCAUCACUCCAGACCUCCCAGCUAGCUAUCAUGCUAGGAUUUUGGGAGGAAAGAGAGAGCUGAGGGGAAUAGGAGAGGAGGAAGAAAGGGAGCUGGGUAGAUGAUUUCAUCAGUUUGGAAGUAGCAGAGCAGUAUUGAAUGAGGAUGUGAGUCUGCUUAUCCUCUCUCUUUCCUUCUUGCUCUCCUCUCUUUUUUUCUUCCCUUUUCCCCUCCCCACUCUCUUCCUCCCAAUUAAAUACUAACAUUUAUUUUAACCAACAUGUCAUUUAUUCUCCCCAGAAGCCCAUCCUGAAGGCCAAACUUCUGUUCCAAUCUGAGAGAUCUCCAUUUUUAUGCAAUUGCCUCCCCAUCCUUGACUGAGAUCUCAAGCUUUUUUAAAGGAGAAAUCCUUUCCUUUCCUAGUGUUCUAGAGAUGAUUCAUCUCUUCUGUUCCCCUGGAGGGCCAAAGUCCUUCACAUUUCAGGUCAAUGAAAUGGGUGCCAAUGGCUACGUCGUUGACCUUGUCCGAAUCCCGGAUCUGCACCUUCAUGCGUUUGCAGAGUGGAGGGAACAGAUAGGAAAGCCUAGGAUGAGGAGGAGAGGGGUGCUACGUGCUAUGGGUCACCUCCAGGACAUUGGCUGAGGCACCUGAGAAACCUUGGGGAACCUUGGAACAGACGAUGGCUAUCUGGGACUGCUGAAGUAGAAGGGAUGUCAUGGGAGGUAAGACAGAUAAACACUCUGGGGCCAUAAUCUGGGGGAAAUAUGUUUCUGCUGGAUUACAAGCAGUUGGAAAGGAAGGACUGGAAUCAGGGAACCCCUGGGGAUUGGGAUGAGAUGGGAAU